RNAcentral lists this unclassified non-coding RNA (337 nucleotides) under soil metagenome. Its description in RNAcentral is "partial contains 5.8S ribosomal RNA, internal transcribed spacer 2, and large subunit ribosomal RNA". The stretch from base 1 to 120 matches the Rfam family "5.8S ribosomal RNA", at positions 35 to 154 of the family's 154-position model. The record is from RNAcentral.
GAUGAAGCACGUAGCGAAAUGCGAUAAGUAGUGUGAAUUGCAGAAUUCAGUGAAUCAUCGAAUCUUUGAACGCACAUUGCGCCCCUUGGUAUUCCAUGGGGCAUGCCUGUUCGAGCGUCAUUUGUACCUUCAAGCUCUGCUUGGUGUUGGGUGUUUGUCUCGCCUCUGCGUGUAGACUCGCCUCAAAACAAUUGGCAGCCGGCGUAUUGAUUUCGGAGCGCAGUACAUCUCGCGCUUUGCACUCAUAACGACGACGUCCAAAAGUACAUUUUUACACUCUUGACCUCGGAUCAGGUAGGGAUACCCGCUGAACUUAAGCAUAUCAAUAAGCGGAGGA